RNA transcript from Pan troglodytes (chimpanzee), 3771 nucleotides. It is a transcript of the gene named ZXD family zinc finger C, with no coding region annotated. The transcript has 11 exons. The record is from RefSeq and is a predicted model, not a curated record. Lineage: Eukaryota; Metazoa; Chordata; Mammalia; Primates; Hominidae.
CGGAUCGCGUCCCGGGGCGGCGCACGCACACCUGGGCGGGGCGCGGGCCGCUCUGCGUCCGAAGCGGCUCCGACGCCGUCGCUGGGACCAAGAUGGACCUCCCGGCGCUGCUCCCCGCCCCGACUGCGCGCGGAGGGCAACAUGGCGGCGGCCCCGGCCCGCUCCGCCGAGCCCCAGCGCCGCUCGGCGCGAGCCCCGCGCGCCGCCGCCUGCUACUGGUGCGGGGCCCUGAAGAUGGCGGGCCCGGGGCGCGGCCCGGGGAGGCCUCCGGGCCAAGCCCGCCGCCCGCCGAGGACGACAGCGACGGCGACUCUUUCUUGGUGCUGCUGGAAGUGCCGCACGGCGGCGCUGCUGCCGAGGCUGCCGGAUCACAGGAGGCCGAGCCUGGCUCCGGUGUCAACCUGGCGAGCCGCCCCGAGCAGGGCCCCAGCGGCCCGGCCGCCGCCCCCGGCCCUGGCGUAGCCCCGGCGGGCGCCGUCACCAUCAGCAGCCAGGACCUGCUGGUGCGUCUCGACCGCGGCGUCCUCGCGCUGUCUGCGCCGUCCGGCCCCGCAACCGCGGGCGCCGCCGCUCCCCGCCGCGCGCCCCAGGCCUCCGGCCCCAGCACGCCCGGAUACCGCUGCCCCGAGCCGCAGUGCGCGCUGGCCUUCGCCAAGAAGCACCAGCUCAAGGUGCACCUGCUCACGCACGGCGGCGGUCAGGGCCGGCGGCCCUUCAAGUGCCCGCUGGAGGGCUGUGGUUGGGCCUUCACAACGUCCUACAAGCUCAAGCGGCACCUGCAGUCGCACGACAAGCUGCGGCCCUUCGGCUGUCCAGUGGGUGGCUGUGGCAAGAAGUUCACUACGGUCUAUAACCUCAAGGCGCACAUGAAGGGCCACGAGCAGGAGAGCCUGUUCAAGUGCGAGGUGUGCGCCGAGCGCUUCCCCACGCACGCCAAGCUCAGCUCCCACCAGCGCAGCCACUUCGAGCCCGAGCGCCCUUACAAGUGUGACUUUCCCGGCUGUGAGAAGACAUUUAUCACAGUGAGUGCCCUGUUUUCCCAUAACCGAGCCCACUUCAGGGAACAAGAACUCUUUUCCUGCUCCUUUCCUGGGUGCAGCAAGCAGUAUGAUAAAGCCUGUCGGCUGAAAAUUCACCUGCGGAGCCAUACAGGUGAAAGACCAUUUAUUUGUGACUCUGACAGCUGUGGCUGGACCUUCACCAGCAUGUCCAAACUUCUAAGGCACAGAAGGAAACAUGACGAUGACCGGAGGUUUACCUGCCCUGUCGAAGGCUGUGGGAAAUCAUUCACCAGAGCAGAGCAUCUGAAAGGCCACAGCAUAACCCACCUAGGCACAAAGCCGUUUGAGUGUCCUGUGGAAGGAUGUUGCGCGAGGUUCUCCGCUCGUAGCAGUCUGUACAUUCACUCUAAGAAACACGUGCAGGAUGUGGGUGCUCCGAAAAGCCGUUGCCCAGUCUCUACCUGCAACAGACUCUUCACCUCCAAGCACAGCAUGAAGGCGCACAUGGUCAGACAGCACAGCCGGCGCCAAGAUCUCUUACCUCAGCUAGAAGCUCCGAGUUCUCUUACUCCCAGCAGUGAACUCAGCAGCCCAGGCCAAAGUGAGCUCACUAACAUGGAUCUUGCUGCACUCUUCUCUGACACACCUGCCAAUGCUAGUGGUUCUGCAGGUGGGUCGGAUGAGGCUCUGAACUCCGGAAUCCUGACUAUUGACGUCACUUCUGUGAGCUCCUCUCUGGGAGGGAACCUCCCUGCUAAUAAUAGCUCCCUAGGGCCGAUGGAACCCCUGGUCCUGGUGGCCCACAGUGAUAUUCCCCCAAGCCUGGACAGCCCUCUGGUUCUCGGGACAGCAGCCACGGUUCUGCAGCAGGGCAGCUUCAGUGUGGAUGACGUGCAGACUGUGAGUGCAGGAGCAUUAGGCUGUCUGGUGGCUCUGCCCAUGAAGAACUUGAGUGACGACCCACUGGCUUUGACCUCCAAUAGUAACUUAGCAGCACAUAUCACCACACCGACCUCUUCAAGCACCCCCCGAGAAAAUGCCAGUGUCCCGGAACUGCUGGCUCCAAUCAAGGUGGAGCCGGACUCGCCUUCUCGCCCAGGAGCAGUUGGGCAGCAGGAAGGAAGCCAUGGGCUGCCCCAGUCCACGUUGCCCAGUCCAGCAGAGCAGCACGGUGCCCAGGACACAGAGCUCAGUGCAGGCACUGGCAACUUCUAUUUGGUAUGAAGCACUCUAUUCAGUCACCACCAUAUAGGUCACUUCUCUCAUACUCGGUCUUGAGGAUAUUCUGGAUUAAUCCUUUCUAUGCAGACGUUUCUGGUUUACAAAAGGACGCAGCCCUGGACUACAAGUCUGGAACUGACAAGUUCUUAUGACCUUGACAAAUCACCUUAACCCAUCUGAGCCUUAAAUUCUCAUUUAUUUCCUGCAUAAGGAGAUUUGGCUAAAUGCUUUCUGAGGUCCUUUGGAGUCCUGUGGCUCCAUGCUGUGUGACGUUGGGCUACCUCGCUUCUCUGAGUACAAAUGGUGUGUGGUGAAUGGGUCCCAGGAAAGUGGGGGCUCAGCAAGAACUGAUUACCGAGCCAUUCAACUAGCCAAGGAAAAAAAGCAGAGAGGAGCGGGGAGCAAUGCAGGAGCCUCACAGUCUACUCAGAGAAAAAUAAAAGAAGGCAAAAUGAGUCCUCCCCAUUUCCAUGCAAGCCAGAACAGUUGGUUGUGUGGGAGCCUCGUGGUGCCCAGCGGAGGACGGCCAGGACCAGCUCCAGCAGCUGGGGUGCAGUGCGGGGCGCAGGGCGUCCAGGUCCAGCUGGUGCAGGAUGACCCCUCCGGCGAAGGUGUCCUGCCCUCGGCCCGCGGCCCAGCCGCCUUCCUCCCCUUCCUCACUGUGGACCUGCCCGUCUACGUCCUCCAGGAGGUGCUCCCCUCAUCUGGAGGCCCUGCUGGACCGGAGGCCACCCAGUUCCCAGGAAGCACUAUCAACCUGCAGGAUCUGCAGUGACGGCAGCCUCGGCCUGGGCAGGCCCAAGGCCACAGUCUAGGACACACCUUCCCUGAGACUCAUGACAUGAGCCUGGGGAGACCUCAUUUGGUUUCCGUUCAGAAGACCAGCGUAGCCCUUUUGAGACUUUUGGGUACAUUUAUCAAAAAUGUUUUCCUUUUGUUUUACCAGGAAUGAGUUCAGGCUAUACUCUUUGAAACUGCAUUUGUGAGCAAAGUGCUUUGGCAAGGCAAGGGUCUCCCUCAGCAGGGCUAGGUGCACUACAGCCCCUUUCCCCGUGUCCCGUUGGAUCUGAGCUGUGUAGCACUUGUUGCAUUACAAAGAAAAAGACUUCUGCAGGAAAUAGGGUAGAGAACAGGCUGUCUAGUCAGAUGCAACUUGAUCUGUGGCAAAACCAAGUGUGGUCUUUCAGCUUCAGUGUGUUAGCAUCCCAGCACCUGGGAUGGGGUUUGUGGGCAAGUUGAUUUUGCCACACUGUAGGGCCCAGGUGGUCCCAUUACCACCGUGAAGCCAAAUUCUAGCCCAAGUCUGGUAGAGCAGUCGGGCAGCUAGUUUUCGGGGGAGAAUGAUGUGGUGGGACAGAGGACCUCAGUGGCCUAUUACGGAGCCCUCUUCCCAGACUAAAUUCAUAGCCGAGAGCUCGGGGGGAUGGUAGAGUUAAAAUUUAAAAUAAUUUUCUAAAUUCUGUAUUUGGAUAUUAGUGUUUAAGUGGUAAUUUGGCAACAGUUUAUAAAGUGAUGUUCUGAAUACCAUAAAUUAUGUGUAGGACUGUGA